RNAcentral lists this ribosomal RNA (301 nucleotides) under uncultured bacterium. RNAcentral describes it as "partial 16S ribosomal RNA". It matches the Rfam family "Bacterial small subunit ribosomal RNA", at positions 509 to 807 of the family's 1533-position model. The record is from RNAcentral.
CAGUCGCCGCGGUAAUACGGAGGGAGCUAGCGUUGUUCGGAAUUACUGGGCGUAAAGCGCACGUAGGCGGCUAUUCAAGUCAGGGGUGAAAGCCCGGGGCUCAACCCCGGAGCUGCCUUUGAAACUAGAUAGCUUGAAUCUUGGAGAGGCGAGUGGAAUUCCGAGUGUAGAGAUGAAAUUCGUAGAUAUUCGGAAGAACACCAGUGGCGAAGGCGACUCGCUGGGCAAGUAUUGACGCUGAGGUGCGAAAGCGUGGGGAGCAAACAGGAUUAGAUACCCGUGUAGUCCCUGUCUCUUAUAC